Molecule: non-coding RNA, 85 nt
Filed under: uncultured Angelakisella sp.
Lineage: Bacteria; Bacillati; Bacillota; Clostridia; Eubacteriales; Oscillospiraceae
Description: Glycine riboswitch
Rfam family: Glycine riboswitch aptamer
About the family: This family represents the bacterial glycine riboswitch. Glycine riboswitches usually consist of two metabolite-binding aptamers domains with similar structures in tandem.
Source: RNAcentral
GGACUCUGGAGAAUCCCAUUAGGUUGGGUGCCGAAGGUGCAAGGCGGUCAUGCCGCCGAAUCUCUCAGGCAAAAGGACAGAGCGA